RNAcentral lists this ribosomal RNA (301 nucleotides) under uncultured bacterium. Its description in RNAcentral is "partial 16S ribosomal RNA". It matches the Rfam family "Bacterial small subunit ribosomal RNA", at positions 509 to 807 of the family's 1533-position model. The record is from RNAcentral.
CAGUAGCCGCGGUAAUACGAAGGGUGCAAGCGUUACUCGGAAUUACUGGGCGUAAAGCGUGCGUAGGUGGUGGUUUAAGUCCGUUGUGAAAGCCCUGGGCUCAACCUGGGAAUUGCAGUGGAUACUGGGUCACUAGAGUGUGGUAGAGGAUAGUGGAAUUUCCGGUGUAGCAGUGAAAUGCGUAGAGAUCGGAAGGAACAUCUGUGGCGAAGGCGACUAUCUGGGCCAACACUGACGCUCAGGUGCGAAAGCGUGGGGAGCAAACAGGAUUAGAGACCCGAGUAGUCCCUGUCUCUUAUAC